RNAcentral lists this ribosomal RNA (449 nucleotides) under uncultured bacterium. RNAcentral's name for it is "partial 16S ribosomal RNA". It matches the Rfam family "Bacterial small subunit ribosomal RNA", at positions 328 to 793 of the family's 1533-position model. The record is from RNAcentral.
GUGCCAGACUCCUGCGGGAGGCAGCAGUCGGGAAUAUUGCGCAAUGGAGGAAACUCUGACGCAGUGACGCCGCGUAUAGGAAGAAGGUUUUCGGAUUGUAAACUAUUGUCCACAGGGAAGAAAAAAGACUGUACCUGUGAAGAAAGCUCCGGCUAACUACGUGCCAGCAGCCGCGGUAAUACGUAGGGAGCAAGCGUUAUCCGGAAUUAUUGGGUGUAAAGGGUGCGUAGACGGGAUAACAAGUUGGUUGUGAAACCCCUCGGCUCAACUGAGGAACUGCAACCAAAACUAUUAUUCUUGAGUACAGGAGAGGAAAGUGGAAUUCCUAGUGUAGCGGUGAAAUGCGUAGAUAUUAGGAGGAACACCAGUGGCGAAGGCGGCUUACUGGACGAUGACCGACGCUGAGGCUCGAAAGCGUGGGGAGCAAACAGGAUUAGAUACCCUAGUAC